This 813-nucleotide ribosomal RNA is filed under the name Exiguobacterium sp. CS3C1. RNAcentral's name for it is "bacterial SSU rRNA". It matches the Rfam family "Bacterial small subunit ribosomal RNA", at positions 69 to 865 of the family's 1533-position model. Lineage: Bacteria; Bacillati; Bacillota; Bacilli; Caryophanales. The record is from RNAcentral.
GAACUCUUCGGAGGGAAGCGAGUGGAAUGAGCGGCGGACGGGUGAGUAACACGUAAGGAACCUGCCUCAAGGAUUGGGAUAACUCCGAGAAAUCGGAGCUAAUACCGGAUAGUUCUUCGGACCGCAUGGUCCGAUGAUGAAAGGCGCUUCGGCGUCACCUUGAGAUGGCCUUGCGGUGCAUUAGCUAGUUGGUGGGGUAAUGGCCUACCAAGGCGACGAUGCAUAGCCGACCUGAGAGGGUGAUCGGCCACACUGGGACUGAGACACGGCCCAGACUCCUACGGGAGGCAGCAGUAGGGAAUCUUCCACAAUGGACGAAAGUCUGAUGGAGCAACGCCGCGUGAGUGAUGAAGGUUUUCGGAUCGUAAAACUCUGUUGUAAGGGAAGAACAGAUACGAGAGGUAAUGCUCGUAUCCUGACGGUACCUUGCGAGAAAGCCACGGCUAACUACGUGCCAGCAGCCGCGGUAAUACGUAGGUGGCAAGCGUUGUCCGGAAUUAUUGGGCGUAAAGCGCGCGCAGGCGGCCUUUUAAGUCUGAUGUGAAAGCCCCCGGCUCAACCGGGGAGGGUCAUUGGAAACUGGAAGGCUUGAGUACAGAAGAGAAGAGUGGAAUUCCAUGUGUAGCGGUGAAAUGCGUAGAGAUGUGGAGGAACACCAGUGGCGAAGGCGACUCUUUGGUCUGUAACUGACGCUGAGGCGCGAAAGCGUGGGGAGCAAACAGGAUUAGAUACCCUGGUAGUCCACGCCGUAAACGAUGAGUGCUAGGUGUUGGGGGGUUUCCGCCCCUCAGUGCUGAAGCUAACGCAUUAAGC